This 301-nucleotide ribosomal RNA is filed under the name uncultured bacterium. Its description in RNAcentral is "partial 16S ribosomal RNA". It matches the Rfam family "Bacterial small subunit ribosomal RNA", at positions 509 to 809 of the family's 1533-position model. The record is from RNAcentral.
CAGUAGCCACGGUAAUACAGAGGGUGCAAGCGUUAAUCGGAAUUACUGGGCGUAAAGCGCGCGUAGGUGGUUUGUUAAGUUGGAUGUGAAAUCCCCGGGCUCAACCUGGGAACUGCAUCCAAAACUGGCAAGCUAGAGUAUGGUAGAGGGUGGUGGAAUUUCCUGUGUAGCGGUGAAAUGCGUAGAUAUAGGAAGGAACACCAGUGGCGAAGGCGACCACCUGGACUGAUACUGACACUGAGGUGCGAAAGCGUGGGGAGCAAACAGGAUUAGAUACCCGAGUAGUCCCUGUCUCUUAUAA